RNAcentral lists this small RNA (490 nucleotides) under Histoplasma ohiense. RNAcentral's name for it is "hypothetical lncRNA". Lineage: Eukaryota; Fungi; Ascomycota; Eurotiomycetes; Onygenales; Ajellomycetaceae. The record is from RNAcentral.
GCCCCAUAGUCGUGCGAUGUAGGAGUUUGUUUUGUAAGCGUUUGGCUCCGGACAACUUCUUUGCACUGCUUACAGAAAUUUUGACGCUUCUUUACCCGGCAAACUGCUAGAGAUAGCAUGACAGCAGCGAUUGUUAAAAUGAUGAGCAGGACAAGAAUUGGUGUUUGUACACCUUUCAGUGAAGGACAUUUGCUGACUACUACCGCAGAGCCUGUAGCAUCCGGGGGCCUGGAUGUUAUUGCUGUUGCAGCAGCUGUGGUUGCUUUUGCUGUUCCUGUCAAUGGUGAUGAUGAAGGAGCUGAUAGUGGAGAUGUUGACGUAAAACUCUCAUGCGUUGAACUUGAUGGCAGAUUGCUUGAUAUGGGUACACGAGGGGAAGCUCCCGCGGUAACCGUGAGAGUAGUGGUAACAGAAACAAAACUGAUGGAUUCGGCCCUUGCCGACAUUUUUUUAACAGGCGAAGGCUGCGGGCAGGAUGAGGUUGUCGAUG